GAGAAGAGAAUGCAGCAGCAGCAGCAGCAGCAGCAGCGGCGGCCAGUCUGGCUGCUUAUAGAUGAAAAACCCCCGGAGAGGUUGGACGUCUGGGAUGGCGCGGCGCCAUGUGGAAGCCAUUGAGACCUGGAGCGGCAGAGAACAUGGAAGGUGAGGCCACAUGGUAGUGGUUAUCCCUCGGCUGCUCUGGGUAACCUGACCUGCAGGGGAGGACCCCGCUGCCUCCCAAGGACCGGCCGCCACAUGUGUUGCGUGAGAGUCAGAUGCAGAUCCACCGUCGUCUUGACCACUCGACGAUGUGAUUGAGAGCGUUUCUCCUCGUACAGUUUCCCGCUGCGCCGUGCGGCUGCGAGCCUCAGCGAGGGGAAAAUUCCAUUCUCUCGGCGGAGCAGCAGCAUUCUGCAUGAGCCAAUUCCCAGGAGACGCUGCUCUGCAUGUCCUCCAGACAGCCAAG
Molecule: long non-coding RNA, 454 nt
Organism: Solea solea (common sole)
Lineage: Eukaryota; Metazoa; Chordata; Actinopteri; Pleuronectiformes; Soleidae
Exons: 4
Source: RefSeq, a predicted model, not a curated record